RNAcentral lists this small nucleolar RNA (110 nucleotides) under Exophiala aquamarina CBS 119918. Its description in RNAcentral is "A. fumigatus snoRNA Afu_264". It matches the Rfam family "A. fumigatus snoRNA Afu_264". The record is from Rfam by way of RNAcentral. Lineage: Eukaryota; Fungi; Ascomycota; Eurotiomycetes; Chaetothyriales; Herpotrichiellaceae.
CUACAUGAUGACACACAACGUUUUUAAACUAUAUUUCUGGUACCUCUUGAUUGCAGAAGGGAUUCAUGCUCAUGUAUGACUCCUUCGAUGAUCUCAAUGGACUUCUGAAC